GGGAGUGAGGGAGCAGCUGCCUGGGGCUUGGCUGCUGGCUGGGGCUAAACCACAACAACAAUACAGCAGCAAUGGAAUUCCCAGGGUACAAGGAAACAGUUCACUAGAGAUCAACACUCCCUGCCAGAGCUCAACCAAGUCAUCUGGUGAAGCACCCCUGCCCUUCAGCACCUACAGGAAAGAAGCAAUGUGCUAUGAAGUCCUAUAUUUUUUUAAUCUAAAUAAAAAAAACAGAUCCUCAGCUCAGUUUUAAAUCUUAGGCUUUUAAAUCAAGAAAUGCUCUAGCAGUGUAAUAACAUGCAAAUAUGGUCUGACCAUUCAAGCUUUUCUUUAUUUCGCAUUGGUUUUAAUAAAGGCACU
Lonchura striata (white-rumped munia) is the source of this 360-nucleotide non-coding RNA. The record is from RefSeq and is a predicted model, not a curated record. NCBI's taxonomy places the organism in Eukaryota, Metazoa, Chordata, Aves, Passeriformes, Estrildidae.